This 90-nucleotide small nucleolar RNA is filed under the name Microsporum canis CBS 113480. Its description in RNAcentral is "Arthroderma otae CBS 113480 A. fimigatus snoRNA Afu_298". It matches the Rfam family "A. fimigatus snoRNA Afu_298". Lineage: Eukaryota; Fungi; Ascomycota; Eurotiomycetes; Onygenales; Arthrodermataceae. The record is from Rfam by way of RNAcentral.
GCGAAAGAUUAUACAUUUUUAACCCCGAGUGGCCCGUCUGGGCCUCUUUGAAGAUUACAAACGCAACAACACUCUAAUUUUUUCAUGACG